AAAAAGUUUUAUUUUGGCUUUAAAAUUAGGUUAAAUUCGUUUUUACAUGUAAGUUAGUGCGUGAUAUUAGGUGAUUUUUCUAUAGAAUUUUUAAUUUUCAUUCGCAGUAAGUAAAUUUAAAUAUAAGUGUAAGCUUGAUUUAGAAAUUAUUUUUAGUAUUAACAUAAUUUGUGCCAGCAGUUGCGGUUACACAAAUAAUAUAACUUAAUUUGUUUUGGAUGCAGUUUAUUUUAUUUGUUUGGUUUUUAAAUAAAGAUUUUUAGGUGAAAUUUUAAUUUUUGUUAAUUACCAAUUUUUAGUUAUUUAUUCUGGGAAAUUUUUUUCUUAAACUAGGAUUAGAUACCCUAUUAUUAAAAAAGUUAAUAUUUAAAUCCGGACUAGUACUAGUUAUUGUCUUUAAAAUUAAAAAUUUUGGCGGUAUUUUAUUCCAUUCAGAGGAACCUGCCUUUUAAUCGAUGAUCCACGAUUUUAUUUACUUUUUUUUAGUUUACAUAUCGUCGUAUUUUGAAUAUUUUUAAAAAAUUAUAAUAUUCAUAAUUUCUUUUAGUAAGAAAAUCAGAUCAAGGUGUAGCGUAUAGAAAAGAUAAUGGUGGGUUACAUUAUUAAUAUUUAAGGGAUUGUUAAUUAAAAAUUUACAUGAAUGCGGAUUUGAUUGUAAUUUUAUUUUAAUUUAUUAAAAUGAUUGUUGGCUCUAAAAUAUGCACAUAUCGCCCGUCGCUUUUGCUUUAAAGUUAAAUAAGUCGUAACAAAGUAGGCUUACUGGAAAGUGAGCCUAGAAAGAA
Molecule: non-coding RNA, 782 nt
Filed under: Megacyllene sp. KM-2017
Lineage: Eukaryota; Metazoa; Arthropoda; Insecta; Coleoptera; Cerambycidae
Source: RNAcentral